UACAGGCCAAGACAGGCCAGACUCAGCCCUUUGGUAAAUUGUGAUCAUCCACAUGCAGCACUUCCCUGCAGUCAGUGCCAUGUCUCCAAAUUCAUCUCCUGGCAAUUAUAUCCAGAAACAAUAAGGUUUUCUACUGAAAACAAAAGCUUGUUGAGACAACAGCAUAACUCCUGGAGGUCCAAAGGAGCUGAUCCUGCAGGUUUCCCUGUUCACACCAGUGAGGGACUUGGAGUCUGUCCAGUGCUUCUAUGAACUCCAAGUGCAUCCUGCUGCUGCCCACAGGUGAGUGUCAGCUUUGGGAGAGCCACACCCCAGCCUGUCAUGGUAC
RNAcentral lists this long non-coding RNA (328 nucleotides) under Parus major (Great Tit). RNAcentral's name for it is "lncRNA (ENSPMJG00000000904.1)". The record is from RNAcentral. Lineage: Eukaryota; Metazoa; Chordata; Aves; Passeriformes; Paridae.